Molecule: long non-coding RNA, 529 nt
Filed under: Homo sapiens (human)
Lineage: Eukaryota; Metazoa; Chordata; Mammalia; Primates; Hominidae
Description: HSALNT0351671
Source: RNAcentral
AGUCCUGGAAGUUAGGAAGUCCAAGAUGAAGGCACUGGCAGGUUCAUUUAUCUGGAGACAUGUCUAUGAGUGGCUGAGAGACCUGUUUAAUUCUGGGGUAUAGAAUUAAGAUGGCCACCUGCCUGCAAGUAGAGAUAAGCUGCAUUCUCCCAAAUCAACUUUGUUCAUAAUAAAAGGAAUGUUCUGGCCUCCAUAUGCCAUACUCUUUAUUGUCAAUUUCUUAAAUAGUUCACAACUUGGUUAGAGAAGAGGCAGGCUAUCUAUUGCCCCAUCCUCUACCUUUUUUUCUUUUUUAAAAAAACUAAAUACCUAAUUGCUAUAUUGUUAUUCUUUUGUCUGUUAGUGCUCUCUUUAACACGUAUAAAAAUAGACCAAAUUGACAUGAUCAUAUUUUAGAAAAAUACUAUUUUCUUUUUUUUGAAAAGGAAACAGAAAAAAAAGAUAGAUGGCUUAAAUUGUCUACUUAUCAUAACAUAGAAUUAGAAAUCCCAGUCUUUGUGGCUGCCAAAAAAAAAAAAAAAAAAAAGAA